AUACGGAGGGUGCAAGCGUUAUCCGGAUUUAUUGGGUUUAAAGGGUCCGUAGGCGGGCCGAUAAGUCAGUGGUGAAAUCUCAUAGCUUAACUAUGAAACUGCCAUUGAUACUGUCGGUCUUGAGUAAAUUAGAGGUAGCUGGAAUAAGUAGUGUAGCGGUGAAAUGCAUAGAUAUUACUUAGAACACCAAUUGCGAAGGCAGGUUACCAUGAUUUAACUGACGCUGAGGGACGAAAGCGUGGGGAGCGAACAGGAUUAGAUACCCUGGUAGUCCACGCCGUAAACGAUGCUAACUCGUUUUUGGGGCGCAAGCUUCAGAGACCAAGCGAAAGUGAUAAGUUAGCCACCUGGGGAGUACGUUCGCAAGAAUGAA
This 373-nucleotide ribosomal RNA is filed under the name uncultured bacterium. Its description in RNAcentral is "bacterial SSU rRNA". It matches the Rfam family "Bacterial small subunit ribosomal RNA", at positions 523 to 898 of the family's 1533-position model. The record is from RNAcentral.